GCCCUAGUGCCGGUCCGGCCUACGGAAACGGGUCGUGACAAAGGGGGUAUCAGAGCAUAAGUUCAUAAGUCUAGAUGUAACUGCGGAGUAAUUCCUGUCAUGUCUUGACAUUGUCUUCCUUGCUUUCCCCUUCAGCGUUAUUCGCAGUUAGGUUAAAGUCAAGUUGUUUAGUAUAAUUAAAUUUGUAUCCUAGUCCUUUAGAGAUGUGAUUUGGUUACUAAUGCUAAGGGGA
RNAcentral lists this long non-coding RNA (232 nucleotides) under Jatropha curcas. RNAcentral's name for it is "long non-coding RNA (JCUR_LNC000790)". Lineage: Eukaryota; Viridiplantae; Streptophyta; Magnoliopsida; Malpighiales; Euphorbiaceae. The record is from RNAcentral.